This 495-nucleotide ribosomal RNA is filed under the name uncultured bacterium. RNAcentral's name for it is "partial 16S ribosomal RNA". It matches the Rfam family "Bacterial small subunit ribosomal RNA", at positions 28 to 507 of the family's 1533-position model. The record is from RNAcentral.
GACGAACGCUGGCGGCGUGCCUAAUACAUGCAAGUAGAACGCUGAAGGAGGAGCUUGCUUCUCUGGAUGAGUUGCGAACGGGUGAGUAACGCGUAGGUAACCUGCCUGGUAGCGGGGGAUAACUAUUGGAAACGAUAGCUAAUACCGCAUAAUAGCAGUUGUUGCAUGACAACUGUUUGAAAGGUGCAAUUGCACCACUACCAGAUGGACCUGCGUUGUAUUAGCUAGUUGGUGGGGUAACGGCUCACCAAGGCGACGAUACAUAGCCGACCUGAGAGGGUGAUCGGCCACACUGGGACUGAGACACGGCCCAGACUCCUACGGGAGGCAGCAGUAGGGAAUCUUCGGCAAUGGACGGAAGUCUGACCGAGCAACGCCGCGUGAGGGAAGAAGGUUUUCGGAUCGUAAAGCUCUGUUGUAAGAGAAGAACGAGUGUGAGAGUGGAAAGUUCACACUGUGACGGUAUCUUACCAGAAAGGGACGGCUAACUACGUG